UACGGAAGGCAGCAGUGGGGAAUAUUGCACAAUGGGCGAAAGCCUGAUGCAGCUAUGCCGCGUGUAUGAAGAAGGCCUUAGGGUUGUAAAGUACUUUCAUCGGGGAGGAAAAACAAAACUAAUAAUUUUAUUUCUUGACGUUACCCGAAAAAGAAGCACCGGCUAACUCCGUGCCAGCAGCCGCGGUAAUACGGAGGGUGCUAGCGUUAAUCAGAAUUACUGGGCGUAAAGAGCACGUAGGUGGUUUUUUAAGUCAGAUGUGAAAUCCCUGGGCUUAACCUAGGAACUGCAUUUUGAAACUGAAAUACUAGAGUAUCGUAGAGGGAGGUAGAAUUCUAGGUGUGGCGGUGAAAUGCGUAGAUAUCUGGAGGAAUACCUGUGGCGAAAGCGGCCUCCUAAACGAAUACUGACACUGAGGUGCGAAAGCGUGGGGAGCAAACAGGGAUUAGAUACC
RNAcentral lists this ribosomal RNA (454 nucleotides) under uncultured bacterium. Its description in RNAcentral is "bacterial SSU rRNA". It matches the Rfam family "Bacterial small subunit ribosomal RNA", at positions 340 to 786 of the family's 1533-position model. The record is from RNAcentral.